UGCAAAUGAUGUUUUUCUCACGAUGGUCUUCCAAGCUCGAUGAGCGUUGACGAAUUUGCCUUUGGCAUUCACUGAUGCAGCUUA
Labrus bergylta (ballan wrasse) is the source of this 84-nucleotide small nucleolar RNA. Ensembl annotates it as small nucleolar RNA SNORD35. Lineage: Eukaryota; Metazoa; Chordata; Actinopteri; Labriformes; Labridae. The record is from Ensembl.